Molecule: ribosomal RNA, 253 nt
Filed under: uncultured bacterium
Lineage: Bacteria
Description: partial 16S ribosomal RNA
Rfam family: Bacterial small subunit ribosomal RNA
Source: RNAcentral
UACAGAGGUCUCAAGCGUUGUUCGGAUUCAUUGGGCGUAAAGGGUGCGUAGGUGGCGCUGUAAGUCGGGUGUGAAAUUUCGGAGCUUAACUCCGAAACUGCAUUCGAUACUGCGGUGCUUGAGGACUGGAGAGGAGACUGGAAUUCAUGGUGUAGCAGUGAAAUGCGUAGAGAUCACGAGGAAGACCAGUGGCGAAGGCGGGUCUCUGGACAGUUCCUGACACUGAGGCACGAAGGCCAGAGGAGCAAACGGG